This 1019-nucleotide long non-coding RNA is filed under the name Anas platyrhynchos platyrhynchos (common mallard). RNAcentral's name for it is "lncRNA (ENSAPLG00000027756.1)". The record is from RNAcentral. Lineage: Eukaryota; Metazoa; Chordata; Aves; Anseriformes; Anatidae.
UGGGGGGGAACCUGGUGGGGGGCCUCGUGGUGGUGGGGAACGUGGUGGUGGUGGUCAACGGCAUGGGCAUGGUGAACCUUGUGGUGAUGGUGAACGUCAUGGUCAUGGUCAUGAUGAACCUCAUGGUGAUGGUGAACGUCAUGGUGGACCUCAUGGUCAUGGGGAACCUCAUGGUCAUGGUGAACCUUGUGGUGAACCUCAUGGUGAUGGUCAUGGUGAACGUCAUGGUCAUGGUCAUGGUGGACCUCGUGGUCAUGGUGAACCUCAUGGUGAACCUCAUGGUCAUGGGGAACCUCAUGGUGAAUGUCAUGGUCAUGGUCAUGGUGAACAUCAUGGUGGUGGUGAACGUCAUGGUCAUGGUGGACCUCAUGGUGAACCUCAUGGUCAUGGUGAUGGGGAACCUCAUGGUGGACCUCAUGGUCAUGGGGAACCUCAUGGUCAUGGGGAACCUCAUGGUCAUGGUCAUGGUGAAACUCAUGCUCAUGGGGAAGCUCAUGGUGAACCUCAUGGUCAUGGUGAACCUUGUGGUGAACCUCAUGGUGAUGGUGAAUGUCAUGGUCAUGGUCAUGGUGGACCUCAUGGUGGACCUCAUGGUGAUGGAGAACCUCAUGGCAGUGGUGGACCUCGUGGUGAACCUCAUGGUCAUGGGGAACCUCAUGGUGAACCUCAUGGUAAUGGAGAACCUCAUGGUCAUGGUGAACCUCAUGGUGAACCUCUUGGUGAUGGCGACGUUGGACGCCAUGGUGGACGUCACGGUGACGCCGCCCUUCGUGGUGGCACCCGGCCUCCUGGCAACGCUCAAACUCACGGCAACACCAAAAUUGGAGGUGACACCAAAAUUCGAGGUGACACCAAACCCUGUGGUGACCCCAAAAUUCAAGGUGAUGCCAAAAUUCAAGGCGACGCCAAACCCUGUGGUGACACCAAACCCCGUGGUGACCCCAAACCCCGUGGUGACCCCAAAACUGGAGGCGACCCCAAAAUUCAAGGCGACGCCGACCCCGAGCGGCCUCACCGCU